This 327-nucleotide ribosomal RNA is filed under the name uncultured eukaryote. Its description in RNAcentral is "partial 18S ribosomal RNA". It matches the Rfam family "Eukaryotic small subunit ribosomal RNA", at positions 1470 to 1796 of the family's 1831-position model. The record is from RNAcentral.
CCCUUAGAUGUUCUGGGCCGCACGCGCGCUACACUGACGAAUGCAACGAGCUUAUAACCUUGGCCGAAAGGUCUGGGUAAUCUCCAAAUUUCGUCGUGAUGGGGAUAGAUUAUUGCAAUUAUUAAUCUUCAACGAGGAAUGCCUAGUAAGCGCAAGUCAUCAGCUUGCGUUGGUUACGUCCCUGCCCUUUGUACACACCGCCCGUCGCUCCUACCGAUUGAAUGGUCCGGUGAAGCGUUCGGACCGUGGCCUUUGGACGGUUCGCCGUCUGUUGGCUGCGGGAAGUUCGUUAAACCUUAUCAUUUAGAGGAAGGAGAAGUCGUAACA